CCUACGGGUGGCAGCAGUGAGGAAUAUUGGUCAAUGGGCGAGAGCCUGCACCAGCCAAGUCGCGUGAAGGAUUACGGCCCUACGGGUUGUACACUUCUUUUGUCAGGGCGCAAUUGGGUCCACGCGUGGGCUUAGCGAGAGUACCUGAAGAAAAAGCAUCGGCUAACUCCGUGCCAGCAGCCGCGGUAAUACGGAGGAUGCGAGCGUUAUCCGGAUUUAUGGGGUUUAAAGGGUGCGUAGGCGGAAUAUCAAGUCAGCGGUAAAAAUUCGGGGCUCAACCCCGUCGUGCCGUUGAAACUGAUGUUCUUGAGUGGGCGAGAAGUAUGCGGAAUGCGUGGUGUAGCGGGGAAAUGCAUAGAUAUCACGCAGAACUCCGAUUGCGAAGGCAGCAUACCGGCGCCCAACUGACGCUGAAGCACGAAAGCGUGGGGAGCAAACAGGAUUAGAUACCCGGGUAGUC
This 460-nucleotide ribosomal RNA is filed under the name uncultured bacterium. RNAcentral's name for it is "partial 16S ribosomal RNA". It matches the Rfam family "Bacterial small subunit ribosomal RNA", at positions 338 to 795 of the family's 1533-position model. The record is from RNAcentral.